UAGGGAAUAUUGCACAAUGGGCGAAAGCCUGAUGCAGCAACGCCGCGUGCGCGAUGAAGGCCCUCGGGUCGUAAAGCGCUUUUAGGAGGGAUGAAUCAAGACAGUACCUCCAGAAUAAGGAUCGGCUAACUACGUGCCAGCAGCCGCGGUAAAACGUGGGAUCCGAGCGUUAUCCGGAAUUACUGGGCGUAAAGCGCGUGCAGGCGGCUUGGCAAGUCGGUCAUGAAAUCUCCCGGCUCAACUGGGAGAGGUUGUCCGAUACUGCCAGGCUAGAGGACAAGAGAGGGAAGUGGAAUUCCGGAUGUAGUGGUGAAAUACGCAGAUAUCCGGAGGAACACCAGUGGCGAAGGCGGCUUCCUGGCUUGUCCCUGACGCUGAGACGCGAAAGCGUGGGGAGCGAACGGG
RNAcentral lists this ribosomal RNA (405 nucleotides) under uncultured bacterium. RNAcentral describes it as "bacterial SSU rRNA". It matches the Rfam family "Bacterial small subunit ribosomal RNA", at positions 355 to 776 of the family's 1533-position model. The record is from RNAcentral.